This 66-nucleotide transfer RNA is filed under the name Kinyongia tavetana. Its description in RNAcentral is "tRNA-Met". RNAcentral also lists the same sequence under 1 other name. The record is from RNAcentral. Lineage: Eukaryota; Metazoa; Chordata; Lepidosauria; Squamata; Chamaeleonidae.
ACUAGAAUCUGCUACACAAGCAAUUGGGCCCAUACCCCAAAAACGAUACCCCCAUAUCUUCUAGUA